AGGUCAGUAGCCUAGGGGUUAGGCAACGGUCUCCAAAACCGUCUUACGAGGGUUCGAAUCCUUCCUGGCCUG
This 72-nucleotide transfer RNA is filed under the name Entomospira nematocerorum. It matches the Rfam family "tRNA". Rfam says of the family: Transfer RNA (tRNA) molecules are approximately 80 nucleotides in length. Their secondary structure includes four short double-helical elements and three loops (D, anti-codon, and T loops). RNAcentral also lists the same sequence under 1 other name. Lineage: Bacteria; Pseudomonadati; Spirochaetota; Spirochaetia; Spirochaetales; Spirochaetaceae. The record is from Rfam by way of RNAcentral.